GAUGAACGCUAGCGAUAGGCUUAACACAUGCAAGUCGAGGGGCAGCACAAGGUAGCUUGCUAUCUGGGUGGCGACCGGCGCACGGGUGCGUAACGCGUAUGCAACUUGCCCUAUACAGGAGGAUAACCCGUCGAAAGACGGACUAAUACUGCGUAUGCUCACAACUUGGCAUCAAGUGGUGAGGAAAGAAAUUCGGUAUAGGAUAGGCAUGCGUCCCAUUAGCUUGUUGGUGAGGUAACGGCUCACCAAGGCAACGAUGGGUAGGGGAACUGAGAGGUUUAUCCCCCACACUGGUACUGAGACACGGACCAGACUCCUACGGGAGGCAGCAGUGAGGAAUAUUGGUCAAUGGGCGAGAGCCUGAACCAGCCAAGUCGCGUGAAGGAUGACUGUCUUAUGGAUUGUAAACUUCUUUUAUACGGGAAUAACAAGAGUCACGUGUGACUCCCUGCAUGUACCGUAUGAAUAAGCAUCGGCUAACUCCGUG
RNAcentral lists this ribosomal RNA (487 nucleotides) under uncultured bacterium. Its description in RNAcentral is "partial 16S ribosomal RNA". It matches the Rfam family "Bacterial small subunit ribosomal RNA", at positions 28 to 507 of the family's 1533-position model. The record is from RNAcentral.